Molecule: ribosomal RNA, 255 nt
Filed under: uncultured bacterium
Lineage: Bacteria
Description: partial 16S ribosomal RNA
Rfam family: Bacterial small subunit ribosomal RNA
Source: RNAcentral
UACAGAGGGUGCAAGCGUUGUUCGGAAUUAUUGGGCGUAAAGCGCGUGUAGGCGGCUUUGCAAGUCGGGUGUGAAAGCCCUCGGCUCAACCGAGGAAGUGCGCCCGAAACUGCAGAGCUUGAGUGCCGGAGAGGAUGGCGGAAUUCCCCAAGUAGAGGUGAAAAUUCGUAGAUAUGGGGAGGAACACCGGUGGCGAAGGCGGCAUCCUGGACCGGUAUUGACGCUGAGGUGCGAAAGCGUGGGGAGCAAACAGGG